Molecule: unclassified non-coding RNA, 545 nt
Filed under: Hevea brasiliensis (rubber tree)
Lineage: Eukaryota; Viridiplantae; Streptophyta; Magnoliopsida; Malpighiales; Euphorbiaceae
Source: RNAcentral
AAUGAAUAUCACAUCGAUCUGAAUUUAGCCCUCUAAUCCUAGACUUGAAGGCACCAAAAAUUAAAGUGGUCAAGGAGAGAUCAAAGGGAGCCUCAAUCAAAUAGAUUGAAUAAGGAAAUAUAGUAAUAAUUGGUGCUUGAACUAUCUAAAAUUCUUGCUCGAAGACACCAAAUUGAUCUUCUUGCACAUUGAAUUGACAUCUCCUUCAGCUCUCCUUUUUCCGCAUUUCACUUUGCAAUCGAAGAAGGAAGAAAUACACGGAGAGAUUCUGUUCUCUGGAACUGAAAUUGAAUAGAUUGGUUGAUUCAAGAUAUUGGUGAUGUCCUCAAGAGGCUUCCUGAUUCUCCUUUUCUUGCCAGGCAAUAAUGGGGACUUCAGAAGAAGUGUGGGCAUGGCUCGCUGCUCUGAGUAGAAAGGAGGGAUGUUCUCCUUGUUACCAUUUUCACAGAUAAGAGGAAGGAGAGCCAUUGCAGGUGCAGAAGAGAGAGAGUGGUGAAUGAAUUGAUGGGGAAGAACACGGUGGUAUAUGUAAUGGUGGGAUUUUG